Molecule: ribosomal RNA, 1401 nt
Filed under: uncultured bacterium
Lineage: Bacteria
Description: bacterial SSU rRNA
Rfam family: Bacterial small subunit ribosomal RNA
Source: RNAcentral
AGAGUUUGAUCCUGGCUCAGAUUGAACGCUGGCGGCAGGCCUAACACAUGCAAGUCGAGCGGUAGCACAGAGAGCUUGCUCUCGGGUGACGAGCGGCGGACGGGUGAGUAAUGUCUGGGAAACUGCCUGAUGGAGGGGGAUAACUACUGGAAACGGUAGCUAAUACCGCAUAACGUCGCAAGACCAAAGAGGGGGACCUUCGGGCCUCUUGCCAUCAGAUGUGCCCAGAUGGGAUUAGCUAGUAGGUGGGGUAAUGGCUCACCUAGGCGACGAUCCCUAGCUGGUCUGAGAGGAUGACCAGCCACACUGGAACUGAGACACGGUCCAGACUCCUACGGGAGGCAGCAGUGGGGAAUAUUGCACAAUGGGCGCAAGCCUGAUGCAGCCAUGCCGCGUGUAUGAAGAAGGCCUUCGGGUUGUAAAGUACUUUCAGCGAGGAGGAAGGCAUUGUGGUUAAUAACCGCAGUGAUUGACGUUACUCGCAGAAGAAGCACCGACUAACUCCGUGCCAGCAGCCGCGGUAAUACGGAGGGUGCGAGCGUUAAUCGGAAUUACUGGGCGUAAAGCGCACGCAGGCGGUCUGUCAAGUCGGAUGUGAAAUCCCCGGGCUCAACCUGGGAACUGCAUUCGAAACUGGCAGGCUAGAGUCUUGUAGAGGGGGGUAGAAUUCCAGGUGUAGCGGUGAAAUGCGUAGAGAUCUGGAGGAAUACCGGUGGCGAAGGCGGCCCCCUGGACAAAGACUGACGCUCAGGUGCGAAAGCGUGGGGAGCAAACAGGAUUAGAUACCCUGGUAGUCCACGCCGUAAACGAUGUCGACUUUGGAGGUGGUUCCCUUGAGGAGUGGCUUCCGGGAGCUAACGCGUUAAGUCGACCGCCUGGGGAGUACGGCCGCAAGGUUAAAACUCAAAUGAAUUGACGGGGGCCCGCACAAGCGGUGGAGCAUGUGGUUUAAUUCGAUGCAACGCGAAGAACCUUACCUACUCUUGACAUCCAGAGAACUUAGCAGAGAUGCUUUGGUGCCUUCGGGAACUCUGAGACAGGUGCUGCAUGGCUGUCGUCAGCUCGUGUUGUGAAAUGUUGGGUUAAGUCCCGCAACGAGCGCAACCCUUAUCCUUUGUUGCCAGCGGUUCGGCCGGGAACUCAAAGGAGACUGCCAGUGAUAAACUGGAGGAAGGUGGGGAUGACGUCAAGUCAUCAUGGCCCUUACGAGUAGGGCUACACACGUGCUACAAUGGCAUAUACAAAGAGAAGCGACCUCGCGAGAGCAAGCGGACCUCACAAAGUAUGUCGUAGUCCGGAUCGGAGUCUGCAACUCGACUCCGUGAAGUCGGAAUCGCUAGUAAUCGUAGAUCAGAAUGCUACGGUGAAUACGUUCCCGGGCCUUGCACUCACCGCCCGUCA